GUUAAAAAGCUCGUAGUUGGAUUUCUGUGAGAGUAUGAUGUGCCUAACGUGUUUAGAGCGCAGAAAACUCUUGCAUCCUUCUGUUGACCUCCACGUGGCAUUCGCUUGCCAGUGGUUGGCUCAGAGAAUUUACCUUGAGAAAAUUAGAGUGUUUCAGGCAGGCUUAGUCGGAAUACAUUAGCAUGGAAUAAUAGAAUAGGACUCCGGUCUCGUUGUUGGUUUGAGGGACUGUAGUAAUGAUUAAUAGGGAUAGUUGGGGGCAUUAGUAUUCGGUUGUCAGAGGUGAAAUUCUCAGAUUUAUUGAAGACUAACUUAUGCGAAAGCAUUUGCCAAGGAUGUUUUCAUUAAUCAAGAACGAAAGUUAGGGGAUCAAGUCGAUCCAGAUACCGUCCUAGUCUUAACCAUANCUAUGCCGACUCGGGAUUGGGGGCGUGUUAUAUCCGCCUUC
RNAcentral lists this ribosomal RNA (448 nucleotides) under uncultured eukaryote. RNAcentral's name for it is "SSU rRNA". It matches the Rfam family "Eukaryotic small subunit ribosomal RNA", at positions 618 to 1081 of the family's 1831-position model. The record is from RNAcentral.